AUAUUGCACAAUGGGGGGAACCCUGAUGCAGCGACGCCGCGUGAGGGAAGACGGUCUUCGGAUUGUAAACCUCUGUCUUUAGGGACGAAAAAAUGACGGUACCUAAGGAGGAAGCCACGGCUAACUACGUGCCAGCAGCCGCGGUAAUACGUAGGUGGCAAGCGUUGUCCGGAAUUACUGGGUGUAAAGGGAGCGUAGGCGGGGAGACAAGUUGAAUGUUUAAACUAUCGGCUCAACUGAUAGUCGCGUUCAAAACUAUCACUCUUGAGUGCAGUAGAGGUAGGCGGAAUUCCUAGUGUAGCGGUGAAAUGCGUAGAUAUUAGGAGGAACACCAGUGGCGAAGGCGGCCUACUGGGCUGUAACUGACGCUGAGGCACGAAGGCCAGGGGAGCGAAAGG
RNAcentral lists this ribosomal RNA (398 nucleotides) under uncultured bacterium. Its description in RNAcentral is "bacterial SSU rRNA". It matches the Rfam family "Bacterial small subunit ribosomal RNA", at positions 361 to 775 of the family's 1533-position model. The record is from RNAcentral.